This is an RNA transcript of Juglans microcarpa x Juglans regia, 601 nucleotides long. RefSeq lists it as uncharacterized. The transcript has 3 exons. Lineage: Eukaryota; Viridiplantae; Streptophyta; Magnoliopsida; Fagales; Juglandaceae. The record is from RefSeq and is a predicted model, not a curated record.
CCCCCCCGACUCUCGUCUCUCUCUCGACGAGUCGCCACGCGACCUCACCCUGACCCAGUAACCACCCCCGCAGGCAGCGGUCGACACGGGUUUGAAUCGUUUGAUUGGAAAGCAAAAAACAGAAAGAUUCAGAGACAAUGGCAAUGCCAUGGGCCAUGACCCUUUGGAUGGCAAAGAUGGUGUGGGUGGCUCUGACUGGCUGGGUCUCUUCUUGCUUGAUCGUUGCUGAUGAGGUUGCCAGCUCUCUCAGAACCGGCGAUAUUGGUCCUUUCCAUGUUGGCUGAUUGGGUUGUCGAAUUCGACACUAUCUGGGUUUGUCUCUUGGAACCCUGCUAGUUGUUUCUCAUAUGUGAUACUAAUAUCCCUUUCUAUGAGCAGAGCCCAAAAGCUACCAAGAAAAGCAUAUUGGGGGGAUUGAAUAUCUGAGGCGUGGGGAUGUAAAACUGCCUCUGAUUUUCUAUGUAACUCUGAAUUUACGGCUUGUAAUUGGUGCCGUAAUGUUUGCAGCACCAACUUUGUAUAGUAACUAUAGGUGCUCAAUGUUUUGAUGCCAAAUUCUUGGUUACGUAAGGUUUCUUUUAUGUGAGAGUGUUUUCAUGAA